Molecule: ribosomal RNA, 495 nt
Filed under: uncultured bacterium
Lineage: Bacteria
Description: partial 16S ribosomal RNA
Rfam family: Bacterial small subunit ribosomal RNA
Source: RNAcentral
GACGAACGCUGGCGGCGUGCCUAAUACAUGCAAGUAGAACGCUGAAGGAGGAGCUUGCUUCUCUGGAUGAGUUGCGAACGGGUGAGUAACGCGUAGGUAACCUGCCCGGUAGCGGGGGAUAACUAUUGGAAACGAUAGCUAAUACCGCAUAAGAGUAGAUGUCGCAUGACAUUUGCUUAAAAGGUGCAAUUGCAUCACUACCAGAUGGACCUGCGUUGUAUUAGCUAGGUGGUGUGGUAAAGGCUCACCAAGGCAACGAUACAGAGCCGACCGGGGAGGGGGGUCGGCCACACUGGGAGUGGGACCCGGCCCAGACGCCUACAGGGGGGAGCAGUAGGGAAACUUGGGCAAUGGGCGGAAGUCUGACCGAACAAGGCCGGGUGAGUGAAGAAGGGUGUCGGGUCGUGAAGCUCUGUUGUAGGGGAAGAACGAGUGUGAGAGUGGAAAGUUCACGCUGUGACGGUAACUUACCAGAAAGGAACGGCUAACUACGUG